This 484-nucleotide ribosomal RNA is filed under the name uncultured bacterium. RNAcentral describes it as "partial 16S ribosomal RNA". It matches the Rfam family "Bacterial small subunit ribosomal RNA", at positions 30 to 507 of the family's 1533-position model. The record is from RNAcentral.
AUUGAACGCUGGCGGCAGGCCUAACACAUGCAAGUCGAGCGGAUGAAGGGAGCUUGCUCCUGGAUUCAGUGGCGGACGGGUGAGUAAUGCCUAGGAAUCUGCCUGGUAGUGGGGGAUAACGUCCGGAAACGGGCGCUAAUACCGCAUACGUCCUGAUGGUGAACGUGAGGGAUCUUCGGACCUCACGCUAUCAGAUGAGCCUAGGUCGGAUUAGCUAGUUGGAUGGGUAAAGGCCUACCAAGGCGACGAUCCGUAACUGGUCUGAGAGGAUGAUCAGUCACACUGGAACUGAGACACGGUCCAGACUCCUACGGGAGGCAGCAGUGGGGAAUAUUGGACAAUGGGCGAAAGCCUGAUCCAGCAAUGCCGCGUGUGUGAAGAAGGUCUUCGGAUUGUAAAGCACUUUAAGUUGGGAGGAAGAACAGUAAGUUAAUACCUUGAUGUUUUGACGGUACCAACAGAAUAAGCACCGGCUAACUUCGUG